AAGCGCUUGUGACCAGACUUGCGCCGGGCAGAUCAUCCGGUGUUCUCACCGGUGCACUCUGCCCGGCUCAGGCCAGCAUCGGUUCUCGCGGGGGGAUAAAGGCACCGGGAACGUAGCUCCUCCGGG
Molecule: ribosomal RNA, 126 nt
Filed under: Chaetomium citrinum
Lineage: Eukaryota; Fungi; Ascomycota; Sordariomycetes; Sordariales; Chaetomiaceae
Description: partial large subunit ribosomal RNA
Source: RNAcentral